RNAcentral lists this ribosomal RNA (675 nucleotides) under Salmonella enterica subsp. enterica serovar Rubislaw. RNAcentral describes it as "partial 23S ribosomal RNA". It matches the Rfam family "Bacterial large subunit ribosomal RNA", at positions 2259 to 2925 of the family's 2925-position model. The record is from RNAcentral. RNAcentral also lists the same sequence under 30 other names. Lineage: Bacteria; Pseudomonadati; Pseudomonadota; Gammaproteobacteria; Enterobacterales; Enterobacteriaceae.
UGGUGGGUAGUUUGACUGGGGCGGUCUCCUCCUAAAGAGUAACGGAGGAGCACGAAGGUUGGCUAAUCCUGGUCGGACAUCAGGAGGUUAGUGCAAUGGCAUAAGCCAGCUUGACUGCGAGCGUGACGGCGCGAGCAGGUGCGAAAGCAGGUCAUAGUGAUCCGGUGGUUCUGAAUGGAAGGGCCAUCGCUCAACGGAUAAAAGGUACUCCGGGGAUAACAGGCUGAUACCGCCCAAGAGUUCAUAUCGACGGCGGUGUUUGGCACCUCGAUGUCGGCUCAUCACAUCCUGGGGCUGAAGUAGGUCCCAAGGGUAUGGCUGUUCGCCAUUUAAAGUGGUACGCGAGCUGGGUUUAGAACGUCGUGAGACAGUUCGGUCCCUAUCUGCCGUGGGCGCUGGAGAACUGAGGGGGGCUGCUCCUAGUACGAGAGGACCGGAGUGGACGCAUCACUGGUGUUCGGGUUGUCAUGCCAAUGGCACUGCCCGGUAGCUAAAUGCGGAAGAGAUAAGUGCUGAAAGCAUCUAAGCACGAAACUUGCCCCGAGAUGAGUUCUCCCUGAGACUUUAGGUCUCCUGAAGGAACGUUGAAGACGACGACGUUGAUAGGCCGGGUGUGUAAGCGCAGCGAUGCGUUGAGCUAACCGGUACUAAUGAACCGUGAGGCUUAACCUUACA